This 373-nucleotide ribosomal RNA is filed under the name uncultured organism. Its description in RNAcentral is "bacterial SSU rRNA". It matches the Rfam family "Bacterial small subunit ribosomal RNA", at positions 526 to 896 of the family's 1533-position model. The record is from RNAcentral.
CGUAGGGUGCGAGCGUUGUCCGGGAUUAUUGGGCGUAAAGAGCUCGUAGGCGGUCUGUUGCGUCGGUUGUGAAAACUCGGGGCUCAACCCCGAGCCUGCAACCGAUACGGGCAGACUAGAGUUCGGCAGGGGAGACUGGAAUUCCUGGUGUAGCGGUGAAAUGCGCAGAUAUCAGGAGGAACACCGGUGGCGAAGGCGGGUCUCUGGGCCGAUACUGACGCUGAGGAGCGAAAGCGUGGGGAGCGAACAGGAUUAGAUACCCUGGUAGUCCACGCCGUAAACGUUGGGCGCUAGGUGUGGGGGUCCUUCCACGGCCUCCGUGCCGCAGCUAACGCAUUAAGCGCCCCGCCUGGGGAGUACGGCCGCAAGGCUA